CACAGAGAACAAACAGCAAAGCGUUUGGACACAGAGCAUGUGCGGUUUCCUCCUCUGCAUCACAAAAAGAAUCGGGUUUUGUGCUUCCCCCCCCCAAGCAGCACAGACCCUGGAAGGGAGGGAAUAACGCCGUCCUUUGCCAUUAAAUUUUCGGGCUCCAUCCCCGGGCAAGGGCCCGGCUGCGGAGGCCCGGGAGGUUCCCGGGGAGGCGCCCCGCGAGUCGGGCAGCCGGGCCAGGUCCCAGCAAGUGACACAGCUGCUCGGCGGCUCGGUGGCAGCCCAGGCGCUCCCGAUCGGAGCCCCAAGCCCCGUGGGGACCCCGGGCCCGAAGUGGGGUGGCGGGGACGGGACGGGGGGGGAAGGGCGGACACAGAACGGCGGGGCCGCCGCGCUCCGGGAGCGGCGCGGGGGGUGCGGGGGGGCUGCCGGCCGGUCACCGCGGCGAGAGCGGGCGCCCCCCAGCCGUGCCCGCCCCGGUGCUGCUGCAUGGCGCUGCUCAGCCUGCCUUGCAGAGGGAGCUCGAGUCCCGCUCUGCGCCUCGCAGCGCCUCUCACUCCGCCGCACACGCCAGCGCAGCGAGGCGGCGGCCGGCGGGAGCGGGACACGCAGCCGUCCCCGCGGGCAGCGCCCGGCCGGACAGCGCGGCAGGACACGGGCGGCGGGCGGAGAGCGCCGGGCGAGCCCCGCGGAGGAGCAGAGUCAUUUUGUCCUGGCCUGCAGCUCCCUGCCUACCCUGACAGAAGUCUGCUUUCCUGCUCUGAUUUCUUCAGUCAAGGUGUAGCUUAUCUUGGAAAGUGGAAUUGUGCUGCAGGGAGGGGACAAGGUUUUGGCAGGGCAAGGAGAACACCCAGGUAGGUGAAUGAAUUAAAUUCAUGGCUUUGGCCACUGGAACACUGGGCUGGUUUUUUUCAGCAGUUAUUGCAAGGGGAAAAGAAACCAAACCAAAUGUGUAGGAGGGCUGGAACACUUUCUACCUCUCAGGUGCUCUUGUCUGCAGUUGCAUGUGCCAGCUGGGACCUACAUCCCUCAUCUCUUGCUGCUCAAGCUGACAGUGUGAUGCAGUGCCUUGGGAAAAGCACUGUGCUUCCCUUCUGGAGCUCAUCCAGCCCCCUAAGCAGGUGGAAGAAGGCUAAGGGAUGAGUGAUGCAGCAAUGUCCCUGGUUAGCCCUCCCUGCAAUCCCAUCUGCAGAUAAAACUGCAUCCAGAAGUGGUCAUGCUGAGGGGGUGUCCCAGAUGGGACCACAUGUACCACAACAUGCUACAUUCUGCCUGAGCCAGCCCCAGAAAGCUCAGCUACAGUGAGGAAGGAGGCAGUGAAGGCUGCAGCCUAUGCUGGUGAUGGCAGUGCCCCUGCUCUGGCAUGGGUGACUGGCAGGGCUGAGGGGAUGUCCCUGUCACUGCUGCUUUUGGGGGCAUCUUUGCUGCUCUGAACUACUCCCCUCCCAGGACCAUACGGGCCACUAAGAUGAUUAAAGGAUUGGAGCAGCUGUCCUGAGAGCUGGAAAAAUGAAUGCUUGGGAAGGGGGUUCUUGUCCAUGCCUGAUUGGGGGAUAAAGAAUCACAGAACAGUAAGGUUGGAAGGAACCACUAUGGGUCAUCUGGUCCAACCUCCCUGCUCAAGGGGUCUUCCUAGAGGCAUUGGACAGAAUUGUGUCCAGAUGGUUUUUUAAUACCUCCAGUGAGGGAGACUCCACACCCUCUCUGGGCAACCUGUUCCUUUGUGUGGUCACCCACACAGUGAAGUUUUUCUUCCUCAUUUUCAUGUGGAACUUCCCAUGCAUUAGUUUCUGCCCAUUGCCUCUUGUCCUGUUGCUGAGCAUCACUGAGUAGAGCCUGAUCCAUCCUCUGGCACCCU
This is a long non-coding RNA of Junco hyemalis (dark-eyed junco), 1855 nucleotides long. Lineage: Eukaryota; Metazoa; Chordata; Aves; Passeriformes; Passerellidae. The record is from Ensembl.